Molecule: ribosomal RNA, 253 nt
Filed under: uncultured bacterium
Lineage: Bacteria
Description: partial 16S ribosomal RNA
Rfam family: Bacterial small subunit ribosomal RNA
Source: RNAcentral
UACGUAGGGUGCGAGCGUUAAUCGGAAUUACUGGGCGUAAAGUGUGCGCAGGCGGUCGUUCAAGUCGCGUGUGAAAGCCCCCGGCUCAACUGGGGAGGGUCACGCGAUACUGAUCGACUCGAAGGCAGGAGAGGGAAGUGGAAUUCCCGGUGUAGUGGUGAAAUGCGUAGAUAUCGGGAGGAACACCAGUGGCGAAGGCGACUUCCUGGCCUGUUCUUGACGCUGAGGCGCGAAAGCUAGGGGAGCAAACGGG